UGAUCCUUUUUCUCCUUUUUCUCCUUUCAAGUCCUAUUACAUAAAAAAGAAGCACUUACUGUGGUGUCUUGGAUUUUUCUAUGCUUUCUAUUUCAGUCUGGUUCUACAAAUAGGAAAUCCUGCUGUCGCCAGCAAGAUUUUUUCAGCAGAGAUGGUUCUACUCCAACGAUUAAGAAGCAGAAACUUCGUAUCAGUGCUCCUGCCUAAGUCUGAUGUUUGAAAAAGAAACUGUUUCUGCACAUUUCAGAAUAGAGCUAGGUCAAAACAACCUAUCUCUGAUUGCAUACAAUACGACUGCAGUAAAUACCCCCACAAAUGGCAACAAGAAAAAAAACCAGAUAGACCUUAGUUGUUUUGCUGGAGCUAGAGUUACUUCCACAUGUAAUUGCAGCGGCCACCUAUGGCAACCUUGUCUCUGUGGGUGCAAGAUUAGACUAGGGUAUAUUGUAGCACCACUGGGCCACAUCCUAAAGCCAAAUUUCAUGAUCUAAUUAUUACCUGGUUAGACUCAUGCACCAAACUAUUUAUGGAAGGAAUUUUGAGUGGUUUCUAAACCAUAGUGCCCAAUGUUCACGAAAAAUUGCCACUAUCUCAUGAUAAGCCACUACAGUUGAGAGUGGAAAGUGCUCCAGGUGCUCUGUAUUUGGUCUAAACAGGGAGAGCUCGGGUACCUAAAAGCUGAACCUCUCUUUUGCAAUCUUUCUCAAUUCAGUCUUCAUGUAAAAUUCACUUUUAUUUCAGCACAUAAUGGAGAGGGACUUUGGAUGACUCCAUAGAUUAGAUGCAAAUUCCAUAGGAAAAAGGGACUCAAGAACAAACACAUUGUCCUGUUGAUCUAUUAAUAUUUUGAAUUCUAUUGGCUAUUGCUGUUUAAUUUCUCUAUAAGGACACAAUGCAAUAAUUUUAAUUUACAAAGCAAUACUUAAAGCUGAAUCUGAUUAUUCCUUUCUAUAUUUAUUGUCUUUCCAACACUUUCCAUGAUUACUCAGGUUUCAGUAAAAAUAAUGAAAAAAACUACAAAAUGUACAUGAACAUGUUGUAAGCUUUUGUGAAACUCUGGUAGCUCAGAGUCUGACAUUCUCAGUGCCAAGGCCCAGAGGUCAGCACAGCUGUGGCUUUGGUAGCCAUUCAGAACAUCCAUGUGGAUUGGGUGAAGCAGAAGUGAUUUACUCUUCAUGUACUCAGAUUCCCAGCAGGUAGGGCACUGGUAGGCAAGAAGCAUUUCACUGGCAUGUGCAGAUGUGCACAUGAGCACAUAGGCUCAUCCAAGCUGGCUCCAAACAGACACUCUAAGGGAGCUUAGAAUCUAAUGAAACAAAUCUGAGAAACGUUAGGAUGGAUAAAAAUAUAUGUUAUCAGAGCAGUGAAGAUGAAAACAUCCUCUCACAAUAGAACUUAGUCAGAUGGCUUAUCUGAAAGUGAUGUUUAACAAUUUCACUACCGUCAUGUUGUCUGGUCCACUUAACGUCACAAUAACAGUUCCUGGGGGCCCAGGGGGUCCAGUUAACCCAGUGUCACCCUUGAAAGAAAAAGAAGAAUAGAGCAAAUUAUAAGCAGUGUGUUUUUGUUAUUUCAAAUUACUAUUACUAUACUUUCGAUACCAUGAAAAUUCUUCUGUUAUUACACUCAGCCAUUAAUUCUGUUAGCAUUUCCCUUUUUUUGCCAUUUCAAUUCCAGAAAAAAAGCCAUUGAAGACUUAACCUUCCCCUAGCUGAUUAAUAUAAAAAUGAAUAUGCUGAUAUCUGUUAAAGUUUCUAGAAGCAACUUAAAUUUUCAAUCCUAUUUAUUUGGUACAAAACUAUUUUAAAUCAAGCAAUAAUUUCUCCUUGAUUACAAUAUUUAUCUCUAUUUAAUUACAUCAAGCAGUAGAUUACAUGAGCUGUCUUUGGUGACAUUGUCCAAACUGCAGUCUGGAUAUUCCAGGAAGAUCACAGAAUCAUGGUACUAACAGACAUAACAAGCUUUCUUGUGUCCUUCACUGACAACAAAAGUACUGAAGUGCACUUUUUCAUUAAGAAUCUUUGAGGCCUGGGAAAGUACUCAGUGUGAUCUUUCCUGUGGACCUCAAUAAAACAAUAUCCACAAUUUUCAGUGAUUUUAAGCCAGGAAUGCUUUUGCAUGAAUUUGCAGCACAACAGCAAAGAAUGUGUCACUCUUUCAUAAAGAAACAAGAUGUUCCAUGGUCACCUGAGGUACUCCUAAUGAAUAACCAGGUUUAUAGGCAAUUUUUUUCCCCCAGGAAACUCCUAGCUCAUUCUGGGUAGCAAUCACAAUGUUAAAACUGAAUCUGUGCAAGUCAGUUGGCAUAAUUGUGAGAUGCACUAAUCUCUUACAAAGAUAUUCAGACUAACUGCAGUAGUCCUGCAACUGCAGGCUAGGUACUGAGAGACAAUGUGGGCAUUUGUAGUAAUACCUGGCUUAAUGUCAAUUACAUGGGAUACAAAGUAAGUACAUGAAAGACAAGUUAUCCAAUUUUUUUAUCCAAUUUUUUUAUCCAAUUCAAAAUCUGGGGGUUUUGCUAGCAUCACAAGGGCUGAUGCUGAAAAUACAUUGGACAAAAGUUGUGAGACUACAAACGCUACAUAUUUACCACUGUUUAUCUGCUUAGAUAAGCAUUUAAAGUAUAUAUAUUAAUUUAAUGCUAUGUACUAAUUAAUAUUAAUUACUGGCUUCUCUUCAGUAUCUAAUCUUCUGUCUAGAUGUUUAUCUCAUCAGCUCUUAUGUGAAAACAUUUUGACCUUUAAGAGCAUUGCCAUGUUUCCAUUUUUCAACAAAAGACUCCCACAUAUCUACUGAAAAUUUGCAUUUUACAGUACUUCCCCAAAUAUUUCACCAUAGCAAAUCAGAAAAUGCAGAAAACAAAAACAAAACUUAUAAAAUGUUUAAAGCUCCUUAUGAAAUUACCUUUCUUCCUUUGGCUCCUAUUACUUUCAGUCCCAUAAGACCCUGAAAAAAAUCCCCAAAUGUUAUUUUUUUUUAAAUUCACAAACAUUUAAACAUGGGUUGAUUCAUAUUACACAUAACAGAAGUUUUCAUUUUUUUUACCAGUCUGAGACUACCUUAGGUCCAGGAGGUCCUGGCUUCCCUGGCACACCCUACAAAACAGGAAAAGAAUCCUCAGCUAAAAAACUUACAACCUUGUUCUCUGAUACAGGUGUUUUGAAGUACCCAACUUCCACAGAACUUAUAUCCCAUUUUUACUCUUUCCUCCACCUUUACAACUGCAAGCCAUUGCCACUGGGUGACAGAUUGUUUACACAGUAUAGUUGCAAAUGUAUGGAACUCUCAAUGUUAUGCAUAUUAGUAUUUUAAGUGAAUUAAUAGAUAGUUAUUUGAAAAUUAAAAUUUAUGCCUACAUGGACAAGGGAUGCUUCUAAAAAUAUAGAAAUUAUCAUGCAUAAAAAUAAUCAAAAGAAAUGGAAAAAGAAAUCAGAUGCAUUCAGAAAAACAUAUUUUUUACAUACACAUGUGUCUAGACCUCAAAUAAGUCUGGGAGAGUCAAGUACUUGUAUCUGUGUAAUUCCAUAGGAUUUAGGGAAAAUCAAAGGUCAAAGUAACAAGUGAGACAAAUUCAUACUAAAGGUCCUGGAGGGCCUUGUGGUCCAAGUUCCCCAGGAUAUCCUUGAGCACCCUGGGCACCCUGCAUAUUAAAAAAGAAACAGGAAUAAAUCUCCUGGCAAAAUUAUGAGCAAAAUGCAACACCAAAUUCAAUGAACUGGAUGAGAAACAGAGCAGCAGCUCUGCUUCUGAAUUUCCUUUUCCUGUCUCAGGGAAACAGGAGUAUAAUUCUUCCUCACUGCUUUAUUAUUUGGCAUAUGUUUUGAAACAUGAGAAAACAUCUGUUCCUAAACUAAACUACUCAAGUGAGGAGGUAGAACUCUGAGAAAUGUGGACUCAUAAUCCAUAUGGUCCUAUUAAUGCCUCUAAUAAGCCUUCAAUCCUUCAAAUAUUCUAUGCAAUAAAUCCUAUACUUUAAAGCUUUUUUUUUUCCAAAGAAAUGGAAAAUUAAAUAUUCUUUUCUUUUUAAUUUAAUGCUCUCUGUUUAUUCCAAUAGUCAGAAGAAAGCUCUGCCUUCCCCUGUUAAUGUUCAUUCUUGAAAUAUGGACCAUUCUGUCCUUUAUUAGUACUCUAGAAGUUGAGCUGGUCUAUCCUGUUCAGUCUUAGCUUCAAUGAGAGUUUUAGCAGUUGGACUUGAUGUCCAUUAUAGGUCCCUUCCGACUGAACUGUUCAAUUCUAUAUGUGUAGGAGUGAACUCAAAGAUUUGUGACCAGUUUUUCUCCCUACCUGAAGUACUGUUUUUCAGCAAUCUGACUGGCCUGCAAACUGACUAGUUUUGAUUUAGAGAUCAAGGACACAAUUGUAAAAAGUACUGUAUCUAUAUUAAAUACAUAAUACACUUAUGUAAAACACCAAACAAUUUUAAUACAUACUCGUGUUAUAUACAAUGUGUUUAUAUAUAUCACUGUAUAUUUUCAUACAUAUCUAUCUCAGCACCCCUUAUUUUGAGUUACCUGGAGACCAGGCAUUCCUGGUAAUCCAGGAUCACCUUUUGCACCAUACUCUUGGCUAUAUCCCUCUGCAGGGCACCCCUGGACAAUUAGAUAAAAAGAAACAUAAAAAGUUAUGCUGUAGAACUCUGUAGUGCAACAAAUAUUCUAAUAUAGUUUGUAGGGAAAUAAGCAACAUCAGAAUUACAUCAUGAUGGAAACUAUCUACUAUGGAUAGCUCUACCUUUAAAAAAGAUUUUAUGAAACCAAAUAUAUCUUCUGCAGGCCUCCCAGUUCUCUGUUAGGAGCAGUCUUUUCAGAUAUACCUACAUUAGUCAUGCACAACCCUUGCUUUCAAUUUAUUUUUGUUAUUCUUUAUUGCUAUAAAACACUCAUCUGAAGAUUUCCAUAUGAAUUAAUAAACUGUUUGGGGGAGGAGCUUAGUUCUUUGUGUGCUUGAAAGUGUUAAACUAAUUACAUGCAGUAACAGCAGUCUGAGGGAAAAAAAUUAUAGACCAUUUUGCAAUGUGAGGUAAAUGCUAUUAGGACAAAGGAAGGACCAAACUUUGUGGUUGCUUCAUCUGGAGGGUAAACCUUCUGUUUCCCAUAAAUGGAGCUGUAAAGAACAACAUACACACAAAUUGUUGAUAACCAAUAGAUAUUUCAUGCAAUAUCUUGUAAAUAACUGACCUUCUCUCCUUUGAUACCAGCAACUCCCUAGGAAGAAGAACAAUCAUAUUGAAACAGAAAAAUAAAAGAGUGCUGAAAUGACACAUUCUACGUAGUGUCUAAGCUUGAUGC
Molecule: long non-coding RNA, 5288 nt
Organism: Taeniopygia guttata (zebra finch)
Lineage: Eukaryota; Metazoa; Chordata; Aves; Passeriformes; Estrildidae
Source: Ensembl